UGGGCAUUUUAUUGCAUGUCAAAAAAAUGUGAACAAAGCUGAAAAUGGACAAAAUACCACAGCAAAUGACAUCCAGCCAUAAGGAGAUGGAUUUAGGUAGAAGGAAGAAUUCUUUAACACAGACUAUGGGUCUCCGAGGGAAAUACUAUCUGGUAAUUUUCUCACUUUGGGGUGUGUUUAAACCGUAGGACAAGGAGUGAACCCUAAAAUCUGGUGAGAGUCUGUGAAACACACCAGGAACCCACGCGCAGAACGUCACAUCCUGUCAGUCACCCGAAGGGCCAUCUCCGUCCCCGCCAGUCCGAGGGCCUCCCCCAAGGGAGGGGCGUGCUCCCCGCCACGCGGCUUCUGCUGGUGCACGGCCCCUCCCUGAACUCCCUACCUGAGCCUCUCUUGCCUGGACUAUUUGGAAAGUCUACACGUGGAAGAAGGGUGGUCCCACUGAGUCACGUCCGCCCAAGGGAACUGCCCAGGAGCCAUGGAAGCAACCACAAAGUGAGCCUCUCAGACGCGGCUGAAAGGAAGCCAGGCACAAAGGGGAAGAAACCAAGGCUCCAGGUUCCGCUGCCAGGGCAUGAAUGGGAGCGUGGUCAGGACGGGGCUCCUGGACCACAAGCCUCAUGGGAACCCCGAGGAAUGCAGGUUCUUGGGCCCCUCUGGCCCUGAUGGAUCAGAUGCUGGUGAUGGCUCAGGGUCCCCAUAGGCCCUCCAGGGAACUCUGACCUGGGAAGUGGAGCAGCCCUGACUUGGAGGCACCGCCAGAUUCCAGGGAGGCUCCUGGGGGCCUCCAAGCCUUGCGCAGACCCAAGGCCACCUUGCCACCAUGGCCACAGCCCAGUGCUGGCUGCCGGGCAGCAAACCUGCAGAAAUGCAUAAACGCACCAGAGACAUCCGCCCUGAGCCCAGGGCUCCUCCUGGGCCCAACAUUCUGUCCAGGUAAGGCCACGUUCUGGCCGCUGCUCCCAGGCUUGGCAAGAUUGCAACCCCCACAGCCUCCCACUCUGGGACAGCCUGAGGGCAGUGUUGCAGGCCCAGGACCCUCGGGCAGAACGGAAUGUGGCUUUUCCAUUGGCGCUGGCCUGUGUGGCACUCACAGGUACGGCAGAUGGCCUUGCCGGUCUGGGACUCCGGGGACUGUGGGAGAAAGGCCCACUGGCAGGGCUGCCCAGGGCUGCCCAGGGCUGCCAGGAUGUGAACCAGCUGCGUGGCACUGUGGGUCACCUAGGGUGGCCCUGCCUGGUCUGAGAAUGGGCAGUCCGUCACAGCACCACUCACUCCCGGCCACCAGCACUGCACAGGCCAGGCUUUUGCUGCACAUGGCACCUCCCUGCCCAGUCCUGGCCCGAGUGCCUGGGAAACAGGGCACUGUGUACCCGAACACACUCAGACCCGUCCAGGCCCCCGGGAGAAGCGGCAGGCAAUGACGUGGUCCCUGAAAAGCCGAGCGCAUGCUUACGGGGUCUGUCUUUUCCUCCACGCCCCGCCAGGCUCCUGAGGCCGCCGAGUGAGCAGCAGGACCUGGGAGGUUUGCGCGCAGGAUGAGGCCGUGGACAGACAGGCUUUACCACCAGCGGCCACCAUCACCUGCUCUGCAGGGCCUGGGCCAGCCCUGAGAGGGGCGGACGGAAGGAGAGGCAGCAGUGCCCGGGGCUGGUUUACCGUCUUCCAGACACCAGCUCAGGGACAGCGGGUGUGUAUCACCGAGGACCAGGGGCGCACCCCAAGGCUGCACUGUGUCUGCACGCGGCCUGGGGGCCUGUGAGGCCAGACUGCAGGGCAGGGGCCCGCGGCCGUGCCAGCCUCCCUCCUGGGUCGUGACGGUUUUCCUCCUCACUCUGCAGAGCGUCCGCUGCUGGAGCCCGACGGCUCUGGCCGGCGCAGUCAGGACUUAGCUUCCCAGCCAUGGCUGGAAUCCCAGCCUCCCAAAGGCGCAGCUCCUGACCUCUCCCCUGCCAAGCUCACAGUCUUCUCCUUGGCAGGCAGCCCUUUCUCCUGCUGGACCCAACCAAGGGGCACGGUGACCCAGGGAUGGCGCACUCGGCGUCAGCCUCCAAGGCCUCGGAGCCACGCAGACCCAGCGCAGGAUUAGAAACAGACCUCCCGGAAGGCGGAGGGCCAGACCUCCUGGUUUACGGGCGUGACCAGGCCGCGCUCAGGAGAGCGCCUCAGUCCUCCUCCAUGUCAGCUUGCACGACCGUCACCACCGGUGAGGUGCACGUGCUUGUGCUUCCAUUGCAGCGAUGAGGAAACUGAGGCCAAGGGAGGGCCAACAAGCUGCCCUGGGCUUGCUGGUGAUGCACUCGGGGGGCCUGGGAUGGGUGGGGUGGCGGCACCCCUGGAAGUCCCUGGGAACCUGCACCAACCCCCAGGCCCCGCUCCCCUCUCUCGCAGGACCCCUGGGCCCGGCGUUUCUUCACCUCUGACCGUUCGGGAGCUGGGCCCGCCCCAGGGCGUCAGUUUCCAGGGAAGCCUCUGCCUGUCUGGGAGCACCCCCAUCUGCUGGGCCGCGGCCUUCACACGUGCCCUGCGUAGCCCCCGCCCCUCUUAGGGCAAAGCCUCCAUGAAGACUUUCGUCUCUGGCUCAUCCCUUUAAGGAGCCGUAAAAACGAGCCCCCCACCUCACGGGUCUGGAAUGUGUUCCCUCCACGGUGGGAGCUUGUUGGAUGCGGCUGUGCUGGGCGGGGGCUCCAGGGCCUGGCCAGGUGGGCAGCCGUGCUGCGUGAGCGCUGCCCAGGAAGAUGCGAUGAACAGUCGUCGCUUAAAAGGAUAAGCAGAAAUUCCAUUUCCCUUGUACAUACUUGAGUAUUUCAAAACAUCUGGAGGAUGCGCUGCUUUUCCCUCCAAGCAUCUCCGUGGAGUUUUGUGGGGUACCGCGGAGGACCCGGCAUUCCUCUCGGGGAAAACUGGCCUGAGCGUUGCAUAAUGCAGGCAGGCUGCCCGCUCACGUCGCCAGGGGGCUGCGUGCCUGUGUUUCCAGGAGACUUGCUGGAACGUCUUCCCUGGAUCUUGUCAAAGUUGGAUGUGGAAAGCAGCUUGGUCCAUCCAAGGUCCACAGAGUGACCUGCCAGGGAGCCCGUCGGCCGGGAGUGAGGCGACACCGCGCUUGGCCUCAGGAGCUGGAACCGCCGGGGAACUCAGACGUGCCAAGCCUUCUGCCUUAGUCACAGUUAGUCAUUAUUCUUGGUCCUAGUGGAGCAGGAAUGACUGCCAUGUGGCGGGCAGGCAAGAUUCACUUUCGGAAGGAUCCCUGUGUAGACAGGUGCUCUGUCAGAGCAGUCGUGGGGAGCGUGGGGUGUGUGGAGCCUGGCACCGGGCUGACCCUGCCUUCCAAGCAUCCACGCGGCCUUCAGCAGGACAGGAGAAAGCCCAGGACUUGUACUGUGACGUCCCAGACCUAAGAAAUCCAAACCCGAGAUGGAAAGGAGGGUGGAGAGAGUGGGGCCGCCGGACUGGCCGUCCCGAGAAGCCUCAGCUGCAGCAAGUGAGGCUUUGCGGGCUGCCCCACAGGCCUGGUGGCUGCUCCCGGGGCAGGGCGGGGAGCGGCGUCCCCAGCGAGCAGCCUGCCCCACACAUGAAGGUACCCACACACUUAGCCCCUUGCUAAGAGUUCCACUGGCCAGAGCUCUGUCCGAGUCCAGGGCUCCACUCAAGGGACUGCUGUCCCCGCUGUGAAGAAGGCCCGUCAGGGCAAAUGUUCUUCUCCACAGGGAAGCAGAGUCACCUUUUGUCAGACAGAACUUUGUGAGCCUGACACAGCUGGUAGUGGCCCCAGAUCCAACAUCUGACCCCAGAGCUGAAGGGCACAGAGAAGGCACAGCUAGAGAUGGCAGGUGCCCCUUGAAGCUCUGGGGAGAGGGUACCAGGCGGAAUCUCCCAGCACCCUUGGCCUCUAGGCUGAUCUGGCCUCAAAAGCCCCAAGAGGGCUGGAUACAAGGAGACAAAGCCAGAAAGGACGGGAGGUGGGUGGCUAAGGAGACAGGCUGGACAGCGGCGGGGGAGGCAGGUGGCUUUGCUAUAAACAAUCGUCUCAGUAACGUGGCACUGCCCUUGUGUGGGCAGGUUCACACAUAGGCAUAACCUCUUCUAAAACACACUGUUUAUGGAGGCGAAGUUUGCUUAACAGCCAUUUUAAAGCAUAUACUUCACAGGCUGUGCUGGAUUCACGACGCGCAACUUCUGCUUCUCUGGUUUCAGAACGUUUUUGUCUCUCCAGAGCAAAGCGUCGUACCGGUUAAGUAACCACACCUCAUUCCUUCCCCAGCUCUGGAAACCACAGAUCCACUUUCUGUCUCCGUGGGUGUGUCUGUUUGGGAUAUUUCAUUUAAAAGGAAUCACGCAGCACGUGAACGUGUGUGUCUCACUUCUUUCAGUGAAAGUCACAUUUCCGAGGCUCAUCCGAGCGGCGGUGUGUCUCAC
This 4416-nucleotide long non-coding RNA is filed under the name Saimiri boliviensis boliviensis (Bolivian squirrel monkey). RNAcentral describes it as "lncRNA (ENSSBOG00000036642.1)". Lineage: Eukaryota; Metazoa; Chordata; Mammalia; Primates; Cebidae. The record is from RNAcentral.